Molecule: ribosomal RNA, 324 nt
Filed under: uncultured bacterium
Lineage: Bacteria
Description: bacterial SSU rRNA
Rfam family: Bacterial small subunit ribosomal RNA
Source: RNAcentral
AACGAACGCUGGCGGCGUGGAUAAGACAUGCAAGUCGAACGGGACAACAUCUGUAGCAAUACAGGUGUUGUUUAGUGGCGAACGGGUGCGUAACACGUGGGCAAUCUGCCGAGGAAGUGGGGGAUAGCUCGGCCGAAAGGCGAAUUAAUACCGCAUAUGAUCAGUGAAGACAUACUUCGACGACAUCAAAGCCGGGGCAACCUGGCGCUUCUUGAUGAGCCCGCGGCCCAUCAGCUAGUUGGUGAGGUAACGGCUCACCAAGGCUAUGACGGGUAGCUGGUCUGAGAGGACGACCAGUCACACUGGAACUGAGACACGGUCCAG